GCCCCGGUAAACGGCGGCCGUAACUAUAACGGUCCUAAGGUAGCGAAAUUCCUUGUCGGGUAAGUUCCGACCUGCACGAAUGGCGUAAUGAUGGCCAGGCUGUCUCCACCCGAGACUCAGUGAAAUUGAACUCGCUGUGAAGAUGCAGUGUACCCGCGGCAAGACGGAAAGACCCCGUGAACCUUUACUAUAGCUUGACACUGAACAUUGAGCCUUGAUGUGUAGGAUAGGUGGGAGGCUUUGAAGUGUGGACGCCAGUCUGCAUGGAGCCGACCUUGAAAUACCACCCUUUAAUGUUUGAUGUUCUAACGUGGGCCCGUAAUCCGGGUUGCGGACAGUGUCUGGUGGGUAGUUUGACUGGGGCGGUCUCCUCCUAAAGAGUAACGGAGGAGCACGAAGGUUGGCUAAUCCUGGUCGGACAUCAGGAGGUUAGUGCAAUGGCAUAAGCCAGCUUGACUGCGAGCGUGACGGCGCGAGCAGGUGCGAAAGCAGGUCAUAGUGAUCCGGUGGUUCUGAAUGGAAGGGCCAUCGCUCAACGGAUAAAAGGUACUCCGGGGAUAACAGGCUGAUACCGCCCAAGAGUUCAUAUCGACGGCGGUGUUUGGCACCUCGAUGUCGGCUCAUCACAUCCUGGGGCUGAAGUAGGUCCCAAGGGUAUGGCUGUUCGCCAUUUAAAGUGGUACGCGAGCUGGGUUUAGAACGUCGUGAGACAGUUCGGUCCCUAUCUGCCGUGGGCGCUGGAGAACUGAGGGGGGCUGCUCCUAGUACGAGAGGACCGGAGUGGACGCAUCACUGGUGUUCGGGUUGUCAUGCCAAUGGCACUGCCCGGUAGCUAAAUGCGGAAGAGAUAAGUGCUGAAAGCAUCUAAGCACGAAACUUGCCCCGAGAUGAGUUCUCCCUGACCCUUUAAGGGUCCUGAAGGAACGUUGAAGACGACGACGUUGAUAGGCCGGGUGUGUAAGCGCAGCGAUGCGUUGAGCUAACCGGUACUAAUGAACCGU
Molecule: ribosomal RNA, 1001 nt
Filed under: Escherichia coli
Lineage: Bacteria; Pseudomonadati; Pseudomonadota; Gammaproteobacteria; Enterobacterales; Enterobacteriaceae
Description: partial 23S ribosomal RNA
Rfam family: Bacterial large subunit ribosomal RNA
Source: RNAcentral